GACGAACGCUGGCGGCGCGCCUAACACAUGCAAGUCGAACGAGCGAGAGAGAGUUUGCUUUCUCGAGCGAGUGGCGAACGGGUGAGUAACGCGUGAGGAACCUGCCUCAAAGAGGGGGACAACAGUUGGAAACGACUGCUAAUACCGCAUAAGACCACAGCACCGCAUGGUGCAGGGGUAAAAACUCCGGUGGUAUGAGAUGGAUCCGCGUCUGAUUAGCUAGUUGGCGGGGUAACGGCCCACCAAGGCGACGAUCAGUAGCCGGACUGACGAGGUUGAACGGCCACAUUGGGACUGAGACACGGCCCAG
This 310-nucleotide ribosomal RNA is filed under the name uncultured bacterium. RNAcentral's name for it is "bacterial SSU rRNA". It matches the Rfam family "Bacterial small subunit ribosomal RNA", at positions 28 to 334 of the family's 1533-position model. The record is from RNAcentral.